This 30-nucleotide non-coding RNA is filed under the name Homo sapiens (human). Lineage: Eukaryota; Metazoa; Chordata; Mammalia; Primates; Hominidae. The record is from RNAcentral.
UGCUCAGUCAUAAGAGCUGGUGUCAGCCAC